CAGUCGCCACGGGAAUACAGAGGUCCCGAGCGUUGUUCGGAUUCACUGGGCGUAAAGGGCGUGUAGGCGGCCUGGGGCGUCCCAUGUGAAAGGCCACGGCUCAACCGUGGAGGAGCGUGGGAUACGCUCAGGCUAGAGGGUGGGAGAGGGGGGUGGAAUUCCCGGAGUAGCGGUGAAAUGCGCAGAUACCGGGAGGAACGCCGAUGGCGAAGGCAGCCACCUGGUCCACUUCUGACGCUGAGGCGCGAAAGCGUGGGGAGCAAACCGGAUUAGAUACCCCCGUAGUCCCUGUCUCUUAUAC
Molecule: ribosomal RNA, 301 nt
Filed under: uncultured bacterium
Lineage: Bacteria
Description: partial 16S ribosomal RNA
Rfam family: Bacterial small subunit ribosomal RNA
Source: RNAcentral